RNAcentral lists this ribosomal RNA (471 nucleotides) under uncultured organism. RNAcentral describes it as "partial 16S ribosomal RNA". It matches the Rfam family "Bacterial small subunit ribosomal RNA", at positions 335 to 797 of the family's 1533-position model. The record is from RNAcentral.
ACUCCUACGGGAGGCAGCAGUGGGGAAUUUUGGACAAUGGGCGAAAGCCUGAUCCAGCCAUGCCGCGUGCAGUAUGAAGGCCUUCGGGUUGUAAACUGCUUUUGUACGGAACGAAACGGCCUUUUCUAAUAAAGAGGGCUAAUGACGGUACCGUAAGAAUAAGCACCGGCUAACUACGUGCCAGCAGCCGCGGUAAUACGUAGGGUGCAAGCGUUAAUCGGAAUUACUGGGCGUAAAGCGUGCGCAGGCGGUUAUGUAAGACAGUUGUGAAAUCCCCGGGCUCAACCUGGGAACUGCAUCUGUGACUGCAUAGCUAGAGUACGGUAGAGGGGGAUGGAAUUCCGCGUGUAGCAGUGAAAUGCGUAGAUAUGCGGAGGAACACCGAUGGCGAAGGCAAUCCCCUGGACCUGUACUGACGCUCAUGCACGAAAGCGUGGGGAGCAAACAGGAUUAGAAACCCUUGUAGUCCCA